This is a long non-coding RNA of Oncorhynchus tshawytscha (Chinook salmon), 763 nucleotides long. RefSeq lists it as uncharacterized. Lineage: Eukaryota; Metazoa; Chordata; Actinopteri; Salmoniformes; Salmonidae. The transcript is spliced from 2 exons. The record is from RefSeq and is a predicted model, not a curated record.
UUCGCACAGGCAAAAGAGACAUAUUCUGAGCGUGAGAAUCAGGACUAUUGCUCAAUACAAGCCGUUUCGAUCUAGCCAGCUGUGGGCCGAUGUUGUCCUUAGAAGCAUGCGUCAUCUAUUAAAGAGAACAGCAGAUUGAGAGAGUAAAAGAGAGGGAGGGGCAGACGGGGAGAAGGAGGGAGACAGUAGAAUCCUCCCCAGGGAGAGAGAAUGACGUCACUGAUCUAGGCAUCAAGUCUACCCCUCUCUCUUCUCUCUCUAUCUCUACCGAAACGAAGGAGGGAAGACGACAGGGAGGAAGGAGAGAAGACUGGAGGAAAGAGAGAAAGAAAGACAGAGGGGGGGGACAAAAGAAGAAUAUUCCGGAUAAGAAAAAGGACAAUGUCCGUUUCUUCAGAAAAUUACAGAGGCUUCGAGGAUAUACCCGCUUUGUGGCUCCUUUAAUAGGACAUGUGUUACUUAAGUAGUUUUGGGGGGUAUCUGCAUUUUACUUUACUGUUUAUAUAUUUUUAUUUACUCCAUUAAAUUCCGAAAGAAAAUAUAGACUUAUUACCCCCAUAGACUUUCCCUGACAUCCAAAAGUACUCGUUACAUUUCGAAUGCCCGGGCACCACAGAAUUAUGGUCCAAUAAUAUGAAUCUAUCAAUUUAACGUGUUGUAAUCCCUAUUGCCUCUGACCUGGCGUACUCACGAAACACAAAUACUGCGUUUGUAAAUCAUGUCUGAGUGUGCCCAUGUCUGUCCAUAAAAAAUAUUAAGUAGA